This 842-nucleotide ribosomal RNA is filed under the name Glutamicibacter halophytocola. RNAcentral describes it as "bacterial SSU rRNA". It matches the Rfam family "Bacterial small subunit ribosomal RNA", at positions 37 to 893 of the family's 1533-position model. The record is from RNAcentral. Lineage: Bacteria; Bacillati; Actinomycetota; Actinomycetes; Micrococcales; Micrococcaceae.
GGGCGGGGUGCUUACCUGCAGUCGAACGAUGAAGCCCUGCUUGCAGGGUGGAUUAGUGGCGAACGGGUGAGUAACACGUGAGUAACCUGCCCCUGACUCUGGGAUAAGCCCGGGAAACUGGGUCUAAUACCGGAUAUGACUUCCUACUGCAUGGUGGGUUGUUGAAAGAUUUAUCGGUGGGGGAUGGACUCGCGGCCUAUCAGCUUGUUGGUGAGGUAAUGGCUCACCAAGGCGACGACGGGUAGCCGGCCUGAGAGGGUGACCGGCCACACUGGGACUGAGACACGGCCCAGACUCCUACGGGAGGCAGCAGUGGGGAAUAUUGCACAAUGGGCGGAAGCCUGAUGCAGCGACGCCGCGUGAGGGAUGACGGCCUUCGGGUUGUAAACCUCUUUCAGUAGGGAAGAAGCGAAAGUGACGGUACCUGCAGAAGAAGCGCCGGCUAACUACGUGCCAGCAGCCGCGGUAAUACGUAGGGCGCAAGCGUUAUCCGGAUUUAUUGGGCGUAAAGAGCUCGUAGGCGGUUUGUCGCGUCUGCCGUGAAAGUCCGAGGCUCAACCUCGGAUCUGCGGUGGGUACGGGCAGACUAGAGUGAUGUAGGGGAGACUGGAAUUCCUGGUGUAGCGGUGAAAUGCGCAGAUAUCAGGAGGAACACCGAUGGCGAAGGCAGGUCUCUGGGCAUUUACUGACGCUGAGGAGCGAAAGCAUGGGGAGCGAACAGGAUUAGAUACCCUGGUAGUCCAUGCCGUAAACGUUGGGCACUAGGUGUGGGGGACAUUCCACGUUUUCCGCGCCGAAGCUAACGCAUUAAGUGCCCCGGCUGGGGAGGACGGUGCGGAAGG